GAUAGAGGCUUCCUCAGCUUUUGGAUCGACAAUCGACAGCUGAGAGACUAUUUUUUGCUAUGGUUGACUAAAUAUGGUCAGGGAAGAGAGAGGCACAAGAGAGCCUGUUUGCCUGGGAGUGCAUGUUUCAAAUGCUUAGCUGCCUAUAAAGCUGUAACAGUUCAGCCUGUGGCCACUGAGGGAAGAAUAUAAGUUAAUCUCUGUAGUGACCAUGUGGAAGUUCUGACCUUGCUUGCAGACUUGACCUCUGGAUAUGACAAGGUAAGGUCCUGUGUUCACUGAUACUUCCCUCUUACUUCACCGACUCAUGAAAAGAAGCGCUGAUUCAGCAAAUAGAGUGAAGAAUCAAGAUGAGAUGGCUGCUGCCGAUGUGACUCUCUAGGUCAUAUCUCUCCUCCUGCUAAUGCCGCAUGACACUGAGCUUACAGGAUCUAGAAGCAAACUGCAAUAUAAGAAGAAAUUUGCUCUGAAGACUAUGAAGAAACACUAGGCCGAUCUUAGCAAUUUUUGAAAUACACUCUGUAAAUCCUCACUCUGUAAACCCUAUGAAUGUCUUGAAAAAAGAACCAAACCAGGACAAAAUUCAACAGAUAACUGGUCAAUGUUUAGAAGUGUAUGUCCACCAAGAACAAGGAACCAUAAAUGGCACUACUCUCAUGCCUCAGGUAAAUUUGUUAUAAUGUUUAUUAGUCUCUGACAGUCUUUGCAAAUGAUCUUCCAUUGCUCUCCAUCAGUAAGAUAAAUGCUUUACUAACAAAUGAGAAAAUAAAACAUUUCAUGUUUUUACAGCUACCAACUUAAUAUUACCUACUCAGAGUACAUACUUCUUUAUGUACCCAUAUGAACAUACAAUGCUAUGGAAUGUAAAGAAGUAUGUAUUUUUGGUAGGCAAUAAACCGCCAAGAGGGAACUAAACUGCAGCCAUCUGAAUGAUCUUUCUAUGACAAAUUAACCUAAUAUCAAAGAGAUGACCUUUGGCAAUACUACAGCAGAAAAAAAGUACCUACUACUUACAGAUGGAAACUAAAUGUUAAGAUUUCUAUUUUGUGAAGAAAAAAAGUUCUACUGAAGUAGAUUUAAAAUUACCAUGAGGCUUCUUUAAAGUCUUUUAAGUUUAAAGUAUACUAUAUUUCACAAUUUUAAAUUAAGCACCAACAUGAUUAAAAGUUGAAUACAAAAGAGAAAACAAUAUUGCUAGCAAAAAAGAAUGACUGAUACCCAUGGCCUAUUUUCUGUCUCCACAAUUUGAUCUUAAUGUAUCACAUUAGUGGGGCUGACUGAUUUGUUAAGAAAAACAAAUAUAACAAAAGCUGACUUCAUUUACAUUUUAA
Molecule: long non-coding RNA, 1331 nt
Organism: Phacochoerus africanus (Common warthog)
Lineage: Eukaryota; Metazoa; Chordata; Mammalia; Artiodactyla; Suidae
Exons: 3
Source: RefSeq, a predicted model, not a curated record